UACAGAGGGGGCAAGCGUUGUUCGGAAUUACUGGGCGUAAAGGGCGCGUAGGCGGCCUGUUAAGUCGAACGUGAAAUCCCCGGGCUCAACCCGGGGAACUGCGUCCGAUACUGGCAGGCUUGAAUCCGGGAGAGGGAUGCGGAAUUCCAGGUGUAGCGGUGAAAUGCGUAGAUAUCUGGAGGAACACCGGUGGCGAAGGCGGCAUCCUGGACCGGCAUUGACGCUGAGGCGCGAAAGCCAGGGGAGCAAAGCGGG
Molecule: ribosomal RNA, 255 nt
Filed under: uncultured bacterium
Lineage: Bacteria
Description: partial 16S ribosomal RNA
Rfam family: Bacterial small subunit ribosomal RNA
Source: RNAcentral